RNAcentral lists this ribosomal RNA (484 nucleotides) under uncultured bacterium. Its description in RNAcentral is "partial 16S ribosomal RNA". It matches the Rfam family "Bacterial small subunit ribosomal RNA", at positions 29 to 507 of the family's 1533-position model. The record is from RNAcentral.
AUUGAACGCUGGCGGCAUGCUUUACACAUGCAAGUCGAACGGCAGCGCGGGCUUCGGCCUGGCGGCGAGUGGCGAACGGGUGAGUAAUGCAUCGGAACGUGCCCAGUAGUGGGGGAUAGCCCGGCGAAAGCCGGAUUAAUACCGCAUACGACCUGAGGGUGAAAGCGGGGGACCGAAAGGCCUCGCGCUAUUGGAGCGGCCGAUGUCGGAUUAGCUAGUUGGUGGGGUAAAGGCUUACCAAGGCGACGAUCCGUAGCUGGUCUGAGAGGACGAUCAGUCAAAGUGGAGAUGAGAAGAGGUGCAGGGUCGUACGGGAGGCAGCAGUGGGGAAUAUUGGAGAAUGGGAGAAAGACUGAUACAGCCAUGCCGCGGGUGUGAAGAAGGUAUUCGGAUUGUAAAGGACUUUAAGUUGAGAGGAAGGGAAGUAAGUGAAUAAAUUGCGGAUUUGAGGUGAGCAACAGAAUAAGCACCGGAUAACUUGGUG